Molecule: ribosomal RNA, 445 nt
Filed under: uncultured bacterium
Lineage: Bacteria
Description: SSU rRNA
Rfam family: Bacterial small subunit ribosomal RNA
Source: RNAcentral
AGAGCGAACGCUGGCGGCAGGCUUAACACAUGCAAGUCGAGCGGAUGUAGCAAUACAUCAGCGGCAGACGGGAUAGUAACACGUGGGAACGCGCCCUUUGGUUCGGAAUAACUCAGGGAAACUUGAGCUAAUACCGGAUAAGCCCUUACGGGGAAAGAUUUAUCGCCAAAGGAACGGCCCGCGUCCGAUUAGCUAGUUGGUGAGGUAAUGGCUCACCAAGGCGACGAUCGGUAGCUGGUCUGAGAGGAUGACCAGCAUCACUGGGACUGAGACACGGCCCAGACUCCUACGGGAGGCAGCAGUGGGGAAUAUUGGACAAUGGGCGCAAGCCUGAUCCAGCCAUGCCGCGUGGAUGAUGAAGGCCCUAGGGUUGUAAAGUCCUUUUAACGGGAAGAUAAUGACGGUACCGUAGAAUAAGCCCGGCUAACUUCGUGCCAGCAGCCGC